AUAUUGGACAAUGGGGGCAACCCUGAUCCAGCCAUGCCGCGUUUGUGAAGAAGGUCUUCGGAUUGUAAAGCACUUUAAGUUGGGAGGAAGGGCUUUAGGUUAAUACCCUGAAGUUUUGACGUUCCCAACAGAAUAAGCACCGGCUACCUCUGUCCCAGCAGCCGCGGUAAUACAGAGGGUGCAAGCGUUAAUCGGAAUUACUGGGCGUAAAGCGCACGUAGGUGGUUCAGUAAGUUGGGUGUGAAAGCCCCGGGCUUAACCUGGGAACUGCUUUCAUAACUGCUGGGCUAGAGUACGGUAGAGGGGAGUGGAAUUUCCUGUGUAGCGGUGAAAUGCGUAGAUAUAGGAAGGAACACCAGUGGCGAAGGCGACUACCUGGACUGAUACUGACACUGAGGUGCGAAAGCGUGGGGAGCAAAC
Molecule: ribosomal RNA, 420 nt
Filed under: uncultured bacterium
Lineage: Bacteria
Description: partial 16S ribosomal RNA
Rfam family: Bacterial small subunit ribosomal RNA
Source: RNAcentral